GGACCGUAAGGAAAUCUUUUUGCAUCGAGAAGUAUCGUCUGUUUGGAUUUUAAAUUGUUUACAACUUUCAACAAUGGAUCUCUUGGCUCUGGCAUCGAUGAAGAACGCAGCGAAAUGCGAUAAGUAGUGUGAAUUGCAGAAUUCCGUGAAUCAUCGAAUCUUUGAACGCACAUUGCGCCCUUUGGUAUUCCAUCGGGCAUGCCUGUUCGAGCGUCAUUGGUACAAUGCUCAAGCACAGCUUGGUGUUGGGCGUAAUAUUUUUGUCCCGCCGUCAGCGCGAGGACUCGCCUGAAAAGCAUUGGCGAGCCGGCAUACCCGCGACAUCCGCACGCAGCAGACCGCGCGACAGGAGGUCGUCUUGGGGAAGGCUCGGAUGUCCAGGAAGCAAGACACAUGUCCAAUGGCUUGACCUCGGAUCAGGUAGGGAUACCCGCUGAACUUAAGCAUAUCAAUAAGCGGAGGAA
RNAcentral lists this ribosomal RNA (464 nucleotides) under uncultured fungus. RNAcentral's name for it is "eukaryotic LSU rRNA". The stretch from base 63 to 216 matches the Rfam family "5.8S ribosomal RNA". Lineage: Eukaryota; Fungi. The record is from RNAcentral.